Long non-coding RNA from Medicago truncatula (barrel medic), 996 nucleotides. RefSeq lists it as uncharacterized. NCBI's taxonomy places the organism in Eukaryota, Viridiplantae, Streptophyta, Magnoliopsida, Fabales, Fabaceae. The transcript has 7 exons. The record is from RefSeq and is a predicted model, not a curated record.
AUUGGUUGAAACCGUCGUUCACUUACUUUAAAGACUUGCAACUUAUGGAGGAGACUGAGCUUUCUGAAGACAUCAUAGCAGAGUUUCAAAAAAUAUCUGUUGGAGAAGGAUCUGCAAAUGCAGCUGCUGCUGGUUGCUCAUCAUCACAACCACCUGACUGUGUAUGAUGAAUUUGGAUCUUUUGAUUUUUUGGCUUGGCAUAACAACUUUUUGUCAUAGUGUUGUUGCCUUAUGCAUAUAAUUUAAAGGUGGGAUAUGAAUGUUUUUUUGGACGACACCAACCUUGUUAUCACAUAAUGUUGUGACUUUUUGAGCAUAAGUAGCAGCAUAACUUUUGUGAUUAUGAGCAGCUUUGGAGGACUAUUUUGUAGCUGUUUUUACUAUUAUGGCUAUGGCUGAUUUGGAGAACAGUUUGUUGAGAUUUGAAUCAUUGGUACUGCCUCAGGUAUGGUCUGAUGUGGGAGUUUUUUCUGAGUGUUUUUAUCUGCUUAGUGGGUCUGUUUGUUGCUGGUAGCAGCGUGAGUAUUGUGUUGGUUUUGAGGCAAGUAUGUGUCUUUUUGUAACAAGGGGCCUUUGGCUUUUCUUUUGAUUUUCUCUUCUUUUGGUUGAAUACCGAUAUCAUCUAAUUUUGAUUAUGCAGAACCAGAAGAUUAAUUUGAGUAAAAUUGAGCAGCUUGUGAUUUUCAUUUGUUGAUAAUAUCUUUUGUUAAGCCUGCCAUUGCUCUCUAUUGAUGUGCAAAUUUGCUUUGAAUCUCAAAGUAUCAAGAUGCACUUUACUUUGGAUGAUAUGGUGCUCCAUUUGAAUUAACUUGAUAUUGAACAAUGCAUUAUAUAAUGCAUAAUGCUGCUACAGCUGAUACUAAAGACUUUUAUUUUCCAUCUGGAUGAUUGUACUAUUUAAAUCUUUACAAUGGGCUGCAAUGUUAUUUAUGCAUCUCCUAUCCUUCUUUAUAUGUAUUGUGUGUUGUAUUGAUAAUUUUAACUUGUUAGUUUUAA